AUGAAGCUACAUAAGGUUGACGUGAUGCCAGAAUUAUGUGCCAGUGAUGGGCGUAUUCCUUUGAAUGCACAGACCUGUCACUCUGACAGAGGUUUAUGCCAUGGCAGAAGAGUUGUGGUGACCGGUUUGGAGCACAAUGUUGAACUGUCAAGCUUUGUAGUAUUGUGUAUCAUAACUUGAACACUUGUUUCACUGUCAUUGUAUAUCAUUCCCAGAACAGUUUGAGAAAGUAACUGCUUGUUUUUGAUUUCUCAGUUGUUUGUAUACUUUUUUUUUUAAUUGACACUACUUUUACGUUUAAUAAAAAUCACUGUUACAGCUCAAUAUGAAGUUGCUGAUUUUUUAUGGAAGUAGCAGGUCCACCUUGUAGGCUUAU
This 376-nucleotide long non-coding RNA is filed under the name Sinocyclocheilus anshuiensis. Its description in RNAcentral is "lncRNA (ENSSANG00000024725.1)". Lineage: Eukaryota; Metazoa; Chordata; Actinopteri; Cypriniformes; Cyprinidae. The record is from RNAcentral.